RNAcentral lists this ribosomal RNA (504 nucleotides) under uncultured bacterium. Its description in RNAcentral is "partial 16S ribosomal RNA". It matches the Rfam family "Bacterial small subunit ribosomal RNA", at positions 30 to 523 of the family's 1533-position model. The record is from RNAcentral.
AUUGAACGCUGGCGGCAUGCCUUACACAUGCAAGUCGAACGGCAGCAUGGAGAGCUUGCUCUCUGAUGGCGAGUGGCGAACGGGUGAGUAAUGCAUCGGAACGUACCGUGUAAUGGGGGAUAACGUAGCGAAAGUUACGCUAAUACCGCAUACGACCUGAGGGUGAAAGCAGGGGAUCGCAAGACCUUGCGUUAUACGAGCGGCCGAUGUCAGAUUAGCUAGUUGGUGGGGUAAAGGCUCACCAAGGCGACGAUCUGUAGCGGGUCUGAGAGGAUGAUCCGCCACACUGGGACUGGGACACGGCCCAGACUCCUACGGGAGGCAGCAGUGGGGAAUUUUGGACAAUGGGGGCAACCCUGAUCCAGCCAUGCCGCGUGAGUGAAGAAGGCCUUCGGGUUGUAAAGCUCUUUCGGCCGGGAAGAAAUCGCACAGGCUAAUACGCUGUGUGGAUGACGGUACCGGCAUAAGAAGCACCGGCUAACUACGUGCCAGCAGCCGCGGUAA